GGGAAUGUGAGAGACCUGGUUGUGGCAUCUGUCACCUCAUUGACAGCCUGGGUUGAUCAGGUUGACCUGGCUGGAGAGGUGGGUGUCCCCUUCCUCCCUCGUGGCUCUGUGUGUGUGUCCCCUGAAGCCAGGUGCUCUACCAAAGAGAAGGGGCCACAGAAGAGGGCCGGGAUCUGGGUGAGAAUGAAGAGCUG
RNAcentral lists this small nuclear RNA (194 nucleotides) under Cricetulus griseus (Chinese hamster). RNAcentral describes it as "7SK RNA". It matches the Rfam family "7SK RNA", at positions 1 to 179 of the family's 331-position model. Rfam says of the family: 7SK was discovered as an abundant small nuclear RNA in the mid-70s but a possible function has only recently been suggested. The record is from Rfam by way of RNAcentral. Lineage: Eukaryota; Metazoa; Chordata; Mammalia; Rodentia; Cricetidae.